CUUUACAUGUUUCAAUCAUUUUUCACUUUUCACUCAAUUUAUAAACCCACAGGAGUUUUUAAUCAAGUCAAGUUGUUCAAGACGUCGUAAAUAAGCCACAUUAUGUAUUGCCAAAUAUUUGUUUGUCAGUGUGAAAUGGAAAUGACCAUGUGUUAUAAGUAUAGAUAAUGACACAAAUUA
Molecule: non-coding RNA, 180 nt
Organism: Caenorhabditis elegans
Lineage: Eukaryota; Metazoa; Nematoda; Chromadorea; Rhabditida; Rhabditidae
Source: Ensembl